UGUGGUUUUUGUCGUCAACCAAAUUCAAACAAGCCACUGGGCGGGCUGUGCUUGCUCAGGCAGCACCCAUGGGCAGCACAUAUGACAAACUGGGCUGGCAUUCUCAAUCAGUGACUAAUGACUAAUUGAGGAAGUUCAAACAGU
Molecule: long non-coding RNA, 144 nt
Organism: Sander lucioperca (pikeperch)
Lineage: Eukaryota; Metazoa; Chordata; Actinopteri; Perciformes; Percidae
Exons: 3
Source: RefSeq, a predicted model, not a curated record